GGGGGGAAGACCUGGUCGCCCGUGAUGGCAACACGAGUGGGGUGCUGUCGGCUGAUUCGAGCUACUGCUACCGG
RNAcentral lists this transfer RNA (74 nucleotides) under Spirosoma utsteinense. RNAcentral describes it as "tRNA-Ile". Lineage: Bacteria; Pseudomonadati; Bacteroidota; Cytophagia; Cytophagales; Cytophagaceae. The record is from RNAcentral.